This 1396-nucleotide ribosomal RNA is filed under the name uncultured bacterium. RNAcentral describes it as "bacterial SSU rRNA". It matches the Rfam family "Bacterial small subunit ribosomal RNA". The record is from RNAcentral.
UUAGAGUUUGAUCCUGGCUCAGGAUGAACGCUAGCGGCAGGCUUAACACAUGCAAGUCGAGGGGCAGCGAGAUCAGUGCUUGCACUGAUUGUCGGCGACCGGCGCACGGGUGCGUAACGCGUAUGCAACCUACCCAUUACAGGGGGAUAACACUGAGAAAUCGGUACUAAUACCCCAUAACAUCCAGGGAGGCAUCUUCUUGGGUUGAAAACUCCGGUGGUAAUGGAUGGGCAUGCGUUGUAUUAGUUAGUUGGUGGGGUAACGGCUCACCAAGACAACGAUACAUAGGGGGACUGAGAGGUUAACCCCCCACAUUGGUACUGAGACACGGACCAAACUCCUACGGGAGGCAGCAGUGAGGAAUAUUGGUCAAUGGACGCAAGUCUGAACCAGCCAUGCCGCGUGCAGGAAGACGGCUCUAUGAGUUGUAAACUGCUUUUGUACGAGGGUAAACGCAGAUACGCGUAUCUGUCUGAAAGUAUCGUACGAAUAAGGAUCGGCUAACUCCGUGCCAGCAGCCGCGGUAAUACGGAGGAUUCAAGCGUUAUCCGGAUUUAUUGGGUUUAAAGGGUGCGUAGGCGGUCGGAUAAGUUAGAGGUGAAAUCCCGGGGCUCAACUUCGGAAUUGCCUCUGAUACUGUUCGGCUAGAGAGUAGUUGCGGUAGGCGGAAUGUAUGGUGUAGCGGUGAAAUGCUUAGAGAUCAUACAGAACACCGAUUGCGAAGGCAGCUUACCAAGCUACUUCUGACGUUGAGGCACGAAAGCGUGGGGAGCAAACAGGAUUAGAUACCCUGGUAGUCCACGCAGUAAACGAUUGAUAACUGGUUGUUGGGGAUACAGUGUCGGUGAUUAAGCGAAAGCGAUAAGUUAUCCACCUGGGGAGUACGUUCGCAAGAAUUGAAACUCAAAGGAAUUGACGGGGGCCCGCACAAGCGGAGGAGCAUGUGGUUUAAUUCGAUGAUACGCGAGGAACCUUACCCGGGCUUGAAAGUUAGUGACGGAUCUUGAAAGAGGUCUUCCCUUCGGGGCACGAAACUAGGUGCUGCAUGGUUGUCGUCAGCUCGUGCCGUGAGGUGUCGGGUUAAGUCCCAUAACGAGCGCAACCCCUACCGUUAGUUGCCAGCAGGUCAAGCUGGGCACUCUGACGGGACUGCCGGUGUAAGCCGAGAGGAAGGUGGGGAUGACGUCAAAUCAGCACGGCCCUUACGUCCGGGGCUACACACGUGUUACAAUGGCAGGUACAGAGGGCAGCUACCCAGCGAUGGGAUGCGAAUCUCGAAAGCCUGUCUCAGUUCGGAUUGGAGGCUGAAACCCGCCUCCAUGAAGUUGGAUUCGCUAGUAAUCGCGCAUCAGCCAUGGCGCGGUAAAGGCGUUCCCGGGCCUUGUACACACCGCCC